AUUAACUGCCCGUGUCAGGGGCUCGGCCGCGGCUGUAAAUCUCUAGGAGUAACGGCGGCGCACCGGGACGGUCCCCGGUGGUCCUGUAUGUCUCUCUCUCUUAUAAUCCUGUGUGUGUGUGUCUGUGUCU
Molecule: long non-coding RNA, 130 nt
Organism: Sander lucioperca (pikeperch)
Lineage: Eukaryota; Metazoa; Chordata; Actinopteri; Perciformes; Percidae
Exons: 3
Source: RefSeq, a predicted model, not a curated record